Molecule: ribosomal RNA, 591 nt
Filed under: uncultured bacterium
Lineage: Bacteria
Description: partial 16S ribosomal RNA
Rfam family: Bacterial small subunit ribosomal RNA
Source: RNAcentral
UGGGGAAUUUUGGACAAUGGGCGAAAGCCUGAUCCAGCAAUGCCGCGUGUGUGAAGAAGGCCUUCGGGUUGUAAAGCACUUUUGUCCGGAAAGAAAUCCUUGGCUCUAAUACAGUCGGGGGAUGACGGUACCGGAAGAAUAAGCACCGGCUAACUACGUGCCAGCAGCCGCGGUAAUACGUAGGGUGCAAGCGUUAAUCGGAAUUACUGGGCGUAAAGCGUGCGCAGGCGGUUUGCUAAGACCGAUGUGAAAUCCCCGGGCUCAACCUGGGAACUGCAUUGGUGACUGGCAGGCUAGAGUAUGGCAGAGGGGGGUAGAAUUCCACGUGUAGCAGUGAAAUGCGUAGAGAUGUGGAGGAAUACCGAUGGCGAAGGCAGCCCCCUGGGCCAAAUACUGACGCUCAUGCACGAAAAGCGUGGGGGAGCAAAACAGGAUUAGAUACCCUGGUAGUCCACGCCCUAAAACGAUGUCAACUGGUUGUUGGGGAUUCAUUUCCUUAGUAACGUAGCUAACGCGUGAAGUUGACCGCCUGGGGAGUACGGUCGCAAGAUUAAAAACUUAAAUGAAUUGACGGGGUCAUAGCUGUUUCCU